UGGAUCCAGACUUUGAUUCUGGCUCAGGAUGAACGCUAGCUACAGGCUUAACACAUGCAAGUCGAGGGGAAACGACAUCGAAAGCUUGCUUUUGAUGGGCGUCGACCGGCGCACGGGUAAGUAACGCGUAUCCAACCUGCCCACCACUUGGGGAUAACCUUGCGAAAGUAAGACUAAUACCCAAUGAUAUCUCUAGAAGACAUCUGAAGGAGAUUAAAGAUUUAUCGGUGAUGGAUGGGGAUGCGUCUGAUUAGCUUGUUGGCGGGGUAACGGCCCACCAAGGCUACGAUCAGUAGGGGUUCUGAGAGGAAGGUCCCCCACAUUGGAACUGAGACACGGUCCAAACUCCUACGGGAGGCAGCAGUGAGGAAUAUUGGUCAAUGGGCGAGAGCCUGAACCAGCCAAGUAGCGUGCAGGAUGACGGCCCUAUGGGUUGUAAACUGCUUUUAUAAGGGAAUAAAGUGAGCCUCGUGAGGCUUUUUGCAUGUACCUUAUGAAUAAGGACCGGCUAAUUCCGUGCCAGCAGCCGCGGUAAUACGGAAGGUCCGGGCGUUAUCCGGAUUUAUUGGGUUUAAAGGGAGCGUAGGCCGGAGAUUAAGCGUGUUGUGAAAUGUAGAUGCUCAACAUCUGCACUGCAGCGCGAACUGGUUUCCUUGAGUACGCACAAAGUGGGCGGAAUUCGUGGUGUAGCGGUGAAAUGCUUAGAUAUCACGAAGAACUCCGAUUGCGAAGGCAGCUCACUGGAGCGCAACUGACGCUGAAGCUCGAAAGUGCGGGUAUCGAACAGGAUUAGAUACCCUGGUAGUCCGCACGGUAAACGAUGGAUGCCCGCUGUUGGUCUGAAUAGGUCAGCGGCCAAGCGAAAGCAUUAAGCAUCCCACCUGGGGAGUACGCCGGCAACGGUGCAACUCAAAGGAAUUGACGGA
Molecule: ribosomal RNA, 926 nt
Filed under: uncultured organism
Description: bacterial SSU rRNA
Rfam family: Bacterial small subunit ribosomal RNA
Source: RNAcentral